RNAcentral lists this transfer RNA (76 nucleotides) under Candidatus Cloacimonadota bacterium. Its description in RNAcentral is "tRNA-Lys". It matches the Rfam family "tRNA". From Rfam's summary of the family: Transfer RNA (tRNA) molecules are approximately 80 nucleotides in length. Their secondary structure includes four short double-helical elements and three loops (D, anti-codon, and T loops). Further hydrogen bonds mediate the characteristic L-shaped molecular structure. tRNAs have two regions of fundamental functional importance: the anti-codon, which is responsible for specific mRNA codon recognition, and the 3' end, to which the tRNAs corresponding amino acid is attached (by aminoacyl-tRNA synthetases). tRNAs cope with the degeneracy of the genetic code in two manners: having more than one tRNA (with a specific anti-codon) for a particular amino acid; and 'wobble' base-pairing, i.e. permitting non-standard base-pairing at the 3rd anti-codon position. The record is from RNAcentral. Lineage: Bacteria; Pseudomonadati; Candidatus Cloacimonadota.
GAACCGGUAGCUCAGUUGGUAGAGCAAUUGGCUUUUAACCAAUUGGUCAAGGGUUCGAGCCCCUUCCGGUUUACCA